CAGUCAUAUUUUAAAGCGUGACACAAUCCCAGACUAAAUAUUCCACCUCGCGCUAUUUCGGAAGAGAUAUUCACGGAGAUUUUAGGCUUUUUUUUUUUUCUCUCCUUUUUUUUUUUUUUCUUUAAGGCAAGGACGUUACAACGAACGCAAAAGGCGGCAGGCACAGGGCAGGCCCAGAAGUGAGUGUUAUCAUUCCUCUCCUCUCUCCCUCUGAAUUGGCAACUGUGCUUGUGGAACACCAUUCUCCCGUUGGUGAUGCUGAAAUGGCUGUAGAAGCGGCUCCACCCCAUCGACAACGAUUUAAUAGCAGUUUUCAAUGAUGAAUCAAAGAGCCUGCUCCACUUCCCUGCUCUUACACAGAGUUGGCUCUGCUGAAUUCAUCACAAAGCAAACCUGUUCCAGUCCCAUACGUUUGGUUUGUGUGCGAUCCUGUUCAAACAAAAGGGUGAUGAGAAAGUAAUUCCAGCACUGGAGCCCAAUUGCAGUUUGUGAUUCAACGUGGCAUCACUCUCUGGCGUUCAUCCAGCAUGGCAAAGCACAAAAUGCAGGAACUCAGAAUGAAGUUGCACAGAUCAGAAGUUUCUACCUAUAAAGCGAACGUACCAUAGCUUCAAAGUGAUCUUCCAUGAUGAACCAGUCUCAACCUUCAAAGCAAGAAAAAGCAGCUUCAGAACAACUGUAACUUAAAUUUUAAGUGAAUUUACCCUGAUUAGAAAUGGUUGACUUCAUUUCUUUGUGCCAGCGUACACUUGGAUGAAGAUACGUGCAGACUGUGACAAUGAUGAAUGCACAUCAUAUGUUCACAUCCAAUUUGUAGCAAGCAUUUUAAAAGAUGAUGCUGGUUCUAUAAUUCUCAUUAUUAUACAUGACCAAACAUGACUAAAAUCCAGAAUGUUUUUUACUCCA
This is a long non-coding RNA of Numida meleagris (helmeted guineafowl), 906 nucleotides long. RefSeq lists it as uncharacterized. The record is from RefSeq and is a predicted model, not a curated record. The transcript is spliced from 3 exons. Lineage: Eukaryota; Metazoa; Chordata; Aves; Galliformes; Numididae.